This 71-nucleotide transfer RNA is filed under the name Loxodonta africana (African savanna elephant). It matches the Rfam family "tRNA". Rfam says of the family: Transfer RNA (tRNA) molecules are approximately 80 nucleotides in length. Their secondary structure includes four short double-helical elements and three loops (D, anti-codon, and T loops). The record is from Rfam by way of RNAcentral. Lineage: Eukaryota; Metazoa; Chordata; Mammalia; Proboscidea; Elephantidae.
GCAAUGGUGGUUCAGUGGAAUGAUUCUCGCCUUCCAUGUGGGAGACCGGGGUUCGAUUCCUGGCCAAUGCA